GUUAGCGGCGGACGGGUGAGUAACACGUGGGUAACCUGCCCAUAAGACUGGGAUAACUCCGGGAAACCGGGGCUAAUACCGAAUAAUCCUUCGGACCUCAUGGUCCGAUGUUGAAAGGCGGCUUCGGCUGUCACUACAGGAUGGGCCCGCGGCGCAUUAGCUAGUUGGUGAGGUAACGGCUCACCAAGGCCACGAUGCGUAGCCGACCUGAGAGGGUGAUCGGCCACACUGGGACUGAGACACGGCCCAGACUCCUACGGGAGGCAGCAGUAGGGAAUCUUCCACAAUGGACGAAAGUCUGAUGGAGCAACGCCGCGUGAGUGAAGAAGGUUCUCGGAUCGUAAAACUCUGUUGUGAGGGAAGAACAAGUACCGGAGUAACUGCCGGUACCUUGACGGUACCUCAUUAGAAAGCCACGGCUAACUACGUGCCAGCAGCCGCGGUAAUACGUAGGUGGCAAGCGUUGUCCGGAAUCAUUGGGCG
This 483-nucleotide ribosomal RNA is filed under the name uncultured Bacillus sp. Its description in RNAcentral is "bacterial SSU rRNA". It matches the Rfam family "Bacterial small subunit ribosomal RNA", at positions 91 to 560 of the family's 1533-position model. Lineage: Bacteria; Bacillati; Bacillota; Bacilli; Caryophanales; Bacillaceae. The record is from RNAcentral.